RNAcentral lists this unclassified non-coding RNA (250 nucleotides) under plant metagenome. RNAcentral's name for it is "partial contains small subunit ribosomal RNA, internal transcribed spacer 1, and 5.8S ribosomal RNA". The record is from RNAcentral.
GUAGGUGAACCUGCGGAAGGAUCAUUACAGAAUAAACAUGAUGGGUUGUUGCUGGCUCAGUCUUCUGGGCAUGUGCACACUUGUCGUAUUUAUCUUUCCACCAUGUGCACCCCGCGUAGGACUGAAGAAUUGUUGAUUUGAUCAGAGCUUGCUUUGAUUAUUUGGAAUUUGCCGUAACCCUUACGGCUUUUUCUGACUUCAGCGCCUAUGAUUUAUUUAAAUACACCAAUGCAUGUUAAUGAACGUUAUA